GAUGAACGCUGACAGAAUGCUUAACACAUGCAAGUCAACUUGAAUUUGGGUUUUUAACUUAGGUUUGGGCGGCGGACGGGUGAGUAACGCGUAAAGAACUUGCCUCACAGCUAGGGACAACAUUUGGAAACGAAUGCUAAUACCUAAUAUUAUGAUAAUAGGGCAUCCUAUAAUUAUGAAAGCUAUAAGCGCUGUGAGAGAGCUUUGCGUCCCAUUAGCUAGUUGGAGAGGUAACGGCUCACCAAGGCGAUGAUGGGUAGCCGGCCUGAGAGGGUGAUCGGCCACAAGGGGACUGAGACACGGCCCUUACUCCUACGGGAGGCAGCAGUGGGGAAUAUUGGACAAUGGACCAAGAGUCUGAUCCAGCAAUUCUGUGUGCACGAUGAAGUUUUUCGGAAUGUAAAGUGCUUUCAGUUGGGAAGAAAGAAAUGACGGUACCAACAGAAGAAGUGACGGCUAAAUACGUG
Molecule: ribosomal RNA, 467 nt
Filed under: uncultured bacterium
Lineage: Bacteria
Description: partial 16S ribosomal RNA
Rfam family: Bacterial small subunit ribosomal RNA
Source: RNAcentral